Molecule: long non-coding RNA, 2015 nt
Filed under: Struthio camelus australis
Lineage: Eukaryota; Metazoa; Chordata; Aves; Struthioniformes; Struthionidae
Description: lncRNA (ENSSCUG00000017053.1)
Source: RNAcentral
AAGGGAAAUGGAUUAUAAUCUUUCCGUUCUCUCUGAUAGAAGUAAUUAUCUAUAUCCUGCCUUAGCUUAUAAAAUAAAAUGUUUGUAGUAAAAUUUGUGUGUCAAGCACACUAAUAAUGGUGCCUAAAAUGCAUGACAAUUCUAGACUUCAUUGAUUAAUUUAUAGUGUCUAAUUUUGGACAUGCCUAAGAAGCACGAGAUUUCUGUGUGGUAUACCUCUGGAACUGUGUUGCAUGUGUGUUCUUGCUGGAAGAUCAGGGUUGCACCAUCAAGAGGUAAGGUGUAAUAUUUGAAGUCCAGUGGAAGCUUUUAGCCAAAUUUCCUGUUAUUGCCCCUCUCUGAAGCAGAAUUGCACCUCUUUUUUCUUUGUAACUCCAUUGGAUAAUCUUGGAGAGGGACGAUGAUGUUUAAGUUAUAACAGAUUUCUAGGUUUCUUGAAGGUUAAUAGUGAUAUCUGGAAACUUCCCGAGAUUUGUACUGCAAUCUAGAGCAAAAAGUGCCUCAUAUUUCAGCAUAUUUAAUUCCUUGCGUAAAGGUUUUUGAGGGAGUAUGACGGUACAGUUCCUUUACACAGCAUCUGUGAUGGGAGCAGCUUCUCUCCGCUGGAAAUGAUGCCUUAGGCCCCUUUCUCAUAAUGAUGUGAUUCUUUUAUGCAGGAGAAAAGACAAGAAGCUACCUUUCAAGAACAAGAGCUUCAGGAUCUGGUCUCAAGUCACCAUUUAACAAGCCUCGAAGGAUCAAGACCAAAAGUCUCCAACUUGCUAUAGCAUGUGAGAAAAAGCUGUCUGUGUUGCAAUACUCAACGCCUCUACAGUUCAGAAACAUACGCAAAGCCACGAUGAACCUCCUGAGCACUGGGACAAUGCAAUGGCAUCAGAUAAGACAAGAGUCUCCAGAAAUGGAAGAGGAGAAAUGGUCUAGCAGCUUGUAUGUGAAAAGUUACAACCUGAGAGGGGAAUUACUUGCAGUUCUUCUUUUCUGUACACACCAAGGGAUGCACCAACAUGCUUCAUAGUAAAAUCCCAACCACAUGCUCCAUACUUUAUUUCUCUGGAUUCAACCAUUUUUCUCAGAUACUGCUGCCACCAGCAUUGCAGCUUCUUAUCUGCAGAAGUUGAAAGAAGGAUUUUGUCACACUAAAGGUUGUCUUCUUAACUAAGCAGUUUCAAGGAUGGCUCGCAGACAGUCAGGUUCAUACCCAUGGAUGUGUUUAGUUGUUUAGCUCAUACAGGGAAACAAACAGGAAGGAAUUUUGAGCUUAAAUAUGGGCUUGAAUCCGGCCUUCUAUCUGGUAUAUCUGAAUGACUUGUCUUUCUACUCAUUGUCAGCUGCGGAUGACAUUGGGAUAAAAGGUGAUCAAAUUUUGUCAGGUGUUAUGUCCUUUAGCUUUGAGGAUUGAAUUAGUCCUAGAAGCACCAUGCAGCUGUUGUCACCUGUUCACUCUGAAGAAGGCGGUUCAUGUGGUCAAAAGAGAAGAAGCAAAAUGCAAAGAGUUUCACAAACCUACUUGUGACAACAUAUCUAGCUUCCACUCCUGGGAAUUGCCCCUACAUGCUCUGAGGAGAAAAACCUGUUCAAAACAAGACUGUAGCCUAGCUCUCCAACUCAGAGAGGGGAGAGGGGUUUGGACCUGCAGUCAUCAGAUAAUGGAACUAUGGGACUGACAUUAAAACUGUGUAAGAAGAAAUAAGAAGGGGUGAAUUUUCCAACAGAUUUUUUUCUUCUCCUCUGUGGAAAGGACUCAAUACAGAGAAACCUGUGUUUGGAUGUAGGUUUUUAAAUUAUUAGCAUCAUUUUUAUAUCUUAAUCCUUCCCCAAAAGAUAAUAUUGAAUGAGCUGUGUACUCUAAGAUGGGAAUUAUUUGGUGAGUGUUUAAGCUAUUUUUCUAAGAAAGCAGAUGUUUGUGGUUAAUUUCUCUGUUCUUGAGAGAAAGAUUAUUGGUCUUACCCAUUCUGCUGGACUCCUUUAAGAACUGUUCCUAGUGCUGGACUCAUUCCUACCUUGGUUCUAGAGCU